AGUGAACGCUGGCGGUAGGCCUAACACAUGCAAGUCGAACGGCAGCACAGUAAGAGCUUGCUCUUACGGGUGGCGAGUGGCGGACGGGUGAGGAAUACAUCGCAAUCUACUUUUUCGUGGGUGAUAACGUAGGGAAACUUACGCUAAUACCGCAUACGACCUACGGGUGAAAGCAGGGGAUCUUCGGACCUUGCGCGAUUCAAUGAGCCGAUGUCGGAUUAGCUAGUUGGCGGGGUAAAGGCCCACCAAGGCGACGAUCCGUAGCUGGUCUGAGAGGAUGAUCAGCCACACUGGAACUGAGACACGGUCCAGACUCCUACGGGAGGCAGCAGUGGGGAAUAUUGGACAAUGGGCGCAAGCCUGAUCCAGCCAUACCGCGUGGGUGAAGAAGGCCUUCGGGUUGUAAAGCCCUUUUGUUGGGAAAGAAAAGCAGCAGGUUAAUACCCCGCUGUUCUGACGGUACCCAAAGAAUAAGCACCGGCUAACUUCGUG
This 492-nucleotide ribosomal RNA is filed under the name uncultured bacterium. RNAcentral describes it as "partial 16S ribosomal RNA". It matches the Rfam family "Bacterial small subunit ribosomal RNA", at positions 29 to 507 of the family's 1533-position model. The record is from RNAcentral.